This 422-nucleotide ribosomal RNA is filed under the name uncultured bacterium. Its description in RNAcentral is "bacterial SSU rRNA". It matches the Rfam family "Bacterial small subunit ribosomal RNA", at positions 465 to 889 of the family's 1533-position model. The record is from RNAcentral.
GGGGUUGAUGGUACCGUAAGAAUAAGCAUCGGCUAACUCCGUGCCAGCAGCCGCGGUAAUACGGAGGAUGCAAGCGUUAUCCGGAUUCAUUGGGUUUAAAGGGUGCGUAGGCGGGAUAAUAAGUCAGUGGUGAAAUCCUACAGCUUAACUGUAGAACUGCCAUUGAUACUGUUAACCUUGAGUACAUUUGAAGUGGGCGGAAUGCGUCAUGUAGCGGUGAAAUGCUUAGAUAUGACGCGGAACACCGAUAGCGAAGGCAGCUCACUAAACUGUAACUGACGCUGAGGCACGAAAGCGUGGGGAUCAAACAGGAUUAGAUACCCUGGUAGUCCACGCUGUAAACGAUGAUCACUCGAUGUGUGCGAUAUACUGUACGCGUCUGAGCGAAAGCAUUAAGUGACCCACCUGGGGAGUACGGUCGC